RNAcentral lists this ribosomal RNA (497 nucleotides) under uncultured bacterium. RNAcentral's name for it is "partial 16S ribosomal RNA". It matches the Rfam family "Bacterial small subunit ribosomal RNA", at positions 28 to 507 of the family's 1533-position model. The record is from RNAcentral.
GAUGAACGCUGGCGGCGUGCCUAAUACAUGCAAGUCGAGCGAACAGACGAGGAGCUUGCUCCUCUGACGUUAGCGGCGGACGGGUGAGUAACACGUGGAUAACCUACCUAUAAGACUGGGAUAACUUCGGGAAACCGGAGCUAAUACCGGAUAAUAUAUUGAACCGCAUGGUUCAAUAGUGAAAGACGGUUUUGCUGUCACUUAUAGAUGGACCCGCGCCGCAUUAGCUAGUUGGUAAGGUAACGGCUUACCAAGGCAACGAUGCGUAGCCGACCUGAGAGGGUGAUCGGCCACACUGGAACUGAGACACGGUCCAGACUCCUACGGGAGGCAGCAGUAGGGAAUCUUCCGCAAAGGGAGAAAGCCUGACGGAGCAACGCCGCGUGAGUGAUGAAGGUCUUCGGAUCGUAAAACUCUGUUAUUAGGGAAGAACAAAUGUGUAAGUAACUAUGCACGUCUUGACGGUACCUAAUCAGAAAGCCACGGCUAACUACGUG